ACGGAAGGCAGCAGUGAGGGAUAUUGCACAAUGGGGGAAACCCUGAUGCAGCGACGCCGCGUGAGUGAAGAAGUAUUUCGGUAUGUAAAGCUCUAUCAGCAGGGAAGAAAAUGACGGUACCUGACUAAGAAGCCCUGGCUAACUACGUGCCAGCAGCCGCGGUAAUACGUAGGGGGCAAGCGUUAUCCGGAUUUACUGGGUGUAAAGGGAGCGUAGACGGUAUGGCAAGUCUGGUGUGAAAACCCGGGGCUCAACCCCGGGAUUGCAUUGGAAACUGUCAAACUAGAGUGCAGGAGAGGUAAGUGGAAUUCCUAGUGUAGCGGUGAAAUGCGUAGAUAUUAGGAGGAACACCAGUGGCGAAGGCGGCUUACUGGACUGUAACUGACGUUGAGGCUCGAAAGCGUGGGGAGCAAACAGGAUUAGAUACCCUGGUA
This 434-nucleotide ribosomal RNA is filed under the name uncultured Lachnospiraceae bacterium. RNAcentral's name for it is "partial 16S ribosomal RNA". It matches the Rfam family "Bacterial small subunit ribosomal RNA", at positions 341 to 792 of the family's 1533-position model. Lineage: Bacteria; Bacillati; Bacillota; Clostridia; Lachnospirales; Lachnospiraceae. The record is from RNAcentral.